GACGUAGGGGGCGAGCGUUGUCCGGAUUUAUUGGGCGUAAAGCGCGCGCAGGCGGUUCGGCUAGUCGGGUGUGAAAAUCCGGGGCUCAACCCCGGACCUGCAUCCGAUACUUCCGGACUGGAGGCAGGUAGGGGAGAGCGGAAUUCCCGGUGUAGCGGUGAAAUGCGCAGAUAUCGGGAAGAACACCGGUGGCGAAGGCGGCUCUCUGGACCUGUCCUGACGCUCAGGCGCGAAAGCUAGGGGAGCGAACAGG
This 253-nucleotide ribosomal RNA is filed under the name uncultured bacterium. RNAcentral describes it as "partial 16S ribosomal RNA". It matches the Rfam family "Bacterial small subunit ribosomal RNA", at positions 524 to 776 of the family's 1533-position model. The record is from RNAcentral.